CGGUCUCGUUUCGUGUAUCGGUGAGGGGCGGUCAGGUCAGUCAGACUCAGUGGUAUGUAGAAAGCGUUUCGUCAAGUCUCCAUUUUCUACUAAAUUCUACCGCUAUUGUUUUGACGUUAGGGACUGAAAUUAAAAUAAAAACGAGGUCAUGUUAGUCGGACGUCUUGUCACGGCUCAAAUUCAGUCAGGGUCUGUGAGCGCAUGGGAAGCAAAGUUUAUACACGACUUCGUAUCACUGCACCUGAGUUAACUGUCCUGUCUGUCACUUUGUCUCGUUGGAAUUCAAAUGUUAGAGCUCAAGUCGUUAUACUGUCACUCGAAUGUUUGAACAGAUAUUCCUGGUCUUUUAUGUGACAUGGAGGACCAAGAAGGGGACCUAAACCCGAAUACAGACGACCUUCCACUUUGUGCCAAUACCAGCCACAUUCUCGUCAAGCACUAUGCUCUCGACCUAGCUGUUUGUUUUGACAGGAAAGUCAUUAGUGGUAGCGUGGUUCUGUUCCUGGAACCUACGAUUUUUGGAGAACCCGUGGAACAUGAUGGGAACCAAACUGCAUGGUUCAGAAACACUGAACAAUGGCCAAGUGAUUUUCCAGGUGUCAGGAUGGCAGCUGAUCAUAUCAAGUCCUCAUCCGAAGGUCAUUUCAUUUUAGUGCUGGACUGCUGUGACAUCACUGUGUCAAAGGUGGAGCAAGUAGACGUCACCUCAUUGUCGGACGCCUUUCCUGGCGUCGGACCCCCUGACCUUAUCCAAAAGCUGCUCUCCAUGCCUUCUGCUCAGUGGAGGAGGCAGCAGGAGCUCUUCUCAGCGUGCAGCCGUGCGCCUGGUCUUGACCAGGAUGGUGGUCCUCUGCAUUUUCGCACUGGUCGCUGGAGUCUGCAUGUGUGGAAGCCGGGGGUCUCCUCCCCACGGGAGUUCCCUCGGGCCAUCAGGAUUUACUAUGAGACGAUGCCUAUAGGGGGCUCGGUGAGGUGGACCAAAGACCAGGACAACAGGGCGUGUGUGUACACCGCCGGCUCGCCCAUCAACAACCGAGCCCUCUUCCCUUGCCAGGAGCCGCCUGUUGCCAUGUCAACGUGGCAGGCCAGAGUGCGGGCCCCCCACGACUGUGUGGUCUUGAUGAGUGGGGAAGAGCAGGUUGUGCCUACUGAGAAUGGGGACACAAAUUUGUUGCUGUGGAACUACUACGUUACGAUGCCCAUGCCGGCUUCCACCUUCACCUUGGCAGUAGGCCGCUGGCAACAAGUCCCCGCUCAACUACUUCCCGCGUGCGUAAUAGGGCGGAGCGAAAGGGCUGAUGAGUUUGGGGAGUCCGCCCCAGUGUCCUCAUGCGGAGGUUCAAGCCGCGAAAUAGUAAAAGCCUCCAGGCUCCACACUGGCAGGGAAGAGCGGACCGCCCGCUCGGCCUCGUCCUCUCAGCACGAGAGCGUUUCUGUGCUCGACCAUUCAGCCAUGUUGGAUGACGGCUUCCCUUGUUCCCAUGGCGACUACCCUUGCCGCCUCAUCGAGCGCGCUUUCAAGUCCCAGCAUGUGAUCCCGCACCGCGUGUUUGCGCCCACCGGCCUACUGCACAAGGCUCAGAGUCGAAUCCUCACCCUGUUGCCACGAUGUUUAGCCGCGGCCCAGGCAGUUCUGGGAGUUCAUCCCUUCCCCCGCCUUGAUGUCCUCAUCGUGCCAGCGGGGUUUUCCAGUCUGGGCAUGGCCAGCCCGCACAUCAUUUUCCUGUCUCAGAGUGUGUUGCGUGUCGGCAGCUCAUUUCCGAGAGAAAACAGCCCGUCCUUGUGCGGGUCCAGGCUGUGCCACGAGAUCGCCCACUCCUGGUUCGGUCUGCUCAUCGGGGCCAGGGAUUGGACGGAGGAAUGGAUCAGCGAGGGAUUUGCCACUUACCUCGAGGACAUUAUCUGGGCCCGAGCACAGCAACUCUCUGAGCCAGAAGCGGCAGAAGAGUCCAACUUGAAGGCGCUGCUGAGAUGGAGAAGACUGUCCGACGAGUUGCAAAAUUCCGGAGAGGAACUUCAGAUUCUCAGACCCAACAUGGACAAAACAGGUCAAGUCAGUGAAUCUGGCUCCUCCACAGUAAAACAUGCCCUCAACCCAGAAAAAUCCUUCCUGCAAGUGCACUACCUCAAGGGUUACUUCCUCCUCAUGUUCUUGGCCAGUCAAGUGGGAGAGCAGCAAUUUAUUCACUUCUUCAGAUUAUUUGUGAAGAAAUACCACGGGCAACUCAUUCUAUCUCAGGAUUUCCUGCAAAUGCUGCUUUCUACCUUUCCUGACCUUGCGAGAAAAGACCUAACUCUCGACACCAUUUAUGCCGACUGGCUGGAUCGACCAGGAAUUCCCAAGUGGCUGCACGAAAGGAGCGCCGUGUGGUCUGAGGCGACGCUCGUGAAGGAAGUCAAGGAGGAGGUUGCAAAAUGGAUUCUCCUCAGUCAUCAGGCGAAGGGCAGAAAGCGGAAGCGAUCAGAGCCCAAGGUGAACUACAAAGAGGUGACCUCAGAGCAACUUGUAUUGCUUUUGGAGCUCCUCUUAGAAGAAGCCAAGCUGAGCGCAUCCACCAUGCGCAUUUUGUCUCGCACCUACGACCUGCACAAUCAAGACGCUGAGGUGCGCCAUCGCUGGUGCGAGCUGGUGGUCAAGCACAGAUAUGCCAGCGCUUACAGCCACGUGGAGCACUUCCUGCUUCAUGAUCAAGCUAUGGGCGUGUAUCUGUACGGCGAGCUGAUGGUUCAGGAGGACGCCAAGCAGCAGGCGCUGGCUCGUCGCUGCCUUUCAUUGGCCCGAGAGGAAAUGGACCGAUCGGCACGCAGGCUGGUGGAGGAGAUGGUGCUCUGACAGGUAAAGGCAAGUCCGUUGUUACUUGUCGUUCGCUCGUAAUUUUAACAUGACAUUUUCUGAACUCCAUUGUUUUAUCUUCAGGAUUACCUCCCCCAAGGUUAUUAACCUGUUUAAACAGGUGUGUUUUUUGUAAAACUUGCUGUCCACUUUUUUUUGUCCUUUUCAAAAGUAUUUGGUCAAUGAUUUCCCUGACUAUAAUGACAACUGUCCAAAUACUUUUGCAACAUUGAAAAUAGAGGCAAUCUGAGGUACGCUGCAGGAAUUCUAAAAUGUGUUUACCCAUUGAUUUCACUGGCGAUACACUUGCCUUGGUGGAGGUAUGUGUGUUCUUGAAUACAUGCAGACAGGCGCUGUUUUGAGGUCCUUAAAACUAGGGUCAGGGUUUCAAACUAGGGUUUAAUGUUCCCAAGUAGAUUUCCACUCCACUUGGGAUUCGCUUCUUACCUACAGUGACACAUUCCUCGCUGAUCCUGCUUUGUGUGUGUGCGCAUGCAUAGUUUCAGUCUCGGGAAGGGGCCUUUUCCAGGCACUCACAGUAGCACCAUCAGGACGCAUUUGUCAGAGAAGGAAUUUGGGAAUGCGGAAAGUGAAAGCCGGGGGGAGUGGAUCAGCCAGUGUCAUUUUUAAGCCUUAACUCCUAAACGU
Molecule: RNA transcript, 3481 nt
Organism: Syngnathus acus (greater pipefish)
Lineage: Eukaryota; Metazoa; Chordata; Actinopteri; Syngnathiformes; Syngnathidae
Gene name: aminopeptidase O (putative)
Exons: 17
Source: RefSeq, a predicted model, not a curated record